ACGAACACUGGCGGCGCGCCUAACACAUGCAAGUCGAACGAGCGAGAGAGAGCUUGCUUUCUUGAGCGAGUGGCGAACGGGUGAGUAACGCGUGAGGAACCUGCCUCAAAGAGGGGGACAACAGUUGGAAACGACUGCUAAUACCGCAUAAGCCCACGGUGCCGCAUGGCACAGAGGGAAAAGGAGCAAUCCGCUUUGAGAUGGCCUCGCGUCCGAUUAGCUAGUUGGUGAGGUAACGGCCCACCAAGGCGACGAUCGGUAGCCGGACUGAGAGGUUGAACGGCCACAUUGGGACUGAGACACGGCCCAGACUCCUACGGGAGGCAGCAGUGGGGAAUAUUGCACAAUGGGGGAAACCCUGAUGCAGCGACGCCGCGUGGAGGAAGAAGGUCUUCGGAUUGUAAACUCCUGUUGUUGGGGAAGAUAAUGACGGUACCCAACAAGGAAGUGACGGCUAACUACGUG
Molecule: ribosomal RNA, 465 nt
Filed under: uncultured bacterium
Lineage: Bacteria
Description: partial 16S ribosomal RNA
Rfam family: Bacterial small subunit ribosomal RNA
Source: RNAcentral